GAUGAUGCGGCUGCUAUAAUGCAGUCGAGCGCGGGAGCGAGCGGAUCCCCUUCGGGGGUGAAGCUCGUGGAACGAGCGGCGGACGGGUGAGUAACACGUGGGCAACCUACCUGUAAGAUCGGAAUAACCCCGGGAAACCGGGGCUAAUGCCGGGUAAUACUUUUCUUCGCAUGAAGGAAAGUUGAAAGAUGGCCUCUGGCUAUCACUUACAGAUGGGCCCGCGGCGCAUUAGCUAGUUGGUGAGGUAACGGCUCACCAAGGCGACGAUGCGUAGCCGACCUGAGAGGGUGAUCGGCCACACUGGGACUGAGACACGGCCCAGACUCCUACGGGAGGCAGCAGUAGGGAAUCUUCCGCAAUGGACGAAAGUCUGACGGAGCAACGCCGCGUGAACGAUGAAGGUCUUCGGAUCGUAAAGUUCUGUUGUUAGGGAAGAACAAGUGCCGUGCGAAUAGAGCGGCACCUUGACGGUACCUAACGAGGAAGCCCCGGCUAACUACGUGCCAGCAGCCGCGGUAAUACGUAGGGGGCAAGCGUUGUCCGGAAUUAUUGGGCGUAAAGCGCGCGCAGGCGGUUCCUUAAGUCUGAUGUGAAAGCCCACGGCUCAACCGUGGAGGGUCAUUGGAAACUGGGGAACUUGAGGACAGAAGAGGAGAGUGGAAUUCCACGUGUAGCGGUGAAAUGCGUAGAUAUGUGGAGGAACACCAGUGGCGAAGGCGACUCUCUGGUCUGUUUCUGACGCUGAGGUGCGAAAGCGUGGGUAGCAAACAGGAUUAGAUACCCUGGUAGUCCACGCCGUAAACGAUGAGUGCUAGGUGUUAGGGGGCUUCCACCCCUUAGUGCUGAAGUUAACGCAUUAAGCACUCCGCCUGGGGAGUACGGCCGCAAGGCUGAAACUCAAGGAAUUGACGGGGGCCCGCACAAGCGGUGGAGC
This 934-nucleotide ribosomal RNA is filed under the name Halobacillus sp. Its description in RNAcentral is "bacterial SSU rRNA". It matches the Rfam family "Bacterial small subunit ribosomal RNA", at positions 32 to 938 of the family's 1533-position model. The record is from RNAcentral. Lineage: Bacteria; Bacillati; Bacillota; Bacilli; Caryophanales; Bacillaceae.